AUUGAACGCUGGCGGCAGGCCUAACACAUGCAAGUCGAGCGGUUGACGGGAGCUUGCUCCCUGAUUCAGCGGCGGACGGGUGAGUAAUGCCUAGGAAUCUGCCUAUUAGUGGGGGACAACGUUUCGAAAGGAACGCUAAUACCGCAUACGUCCUACGGGAGAAAGCAGGGGACCUUUGGGCCUUGCGCUAAUAGAUGAGCCUAGGUCGGAUUAGCUUGUUGGUGAGGUAAUGGCUCACCAAGGCGACGAUCCGUAACUGGUCUGAGAGGAUGAUCAGUCACACUGGAACUGAGACACGGUCCAGACUCCUACGGGAGGCAGCAGUGGGGAAUAUUGGACAAUGGGCGAAAGCCUGAUCCAGCCAUGCCGCGUGUGUGAAGAAGGUCUUCGGAUUGUAAAGCACUUUAAGUUGGGAGGAAGGGUUGUAGAUUAAUACUCUGCAAUUUUGACGUUACCGACAGAAUAAGCACCGGCUAACUCUGUGCCAGCCGCCGCCGUAA
RNAcentral lists this ribosomal RNA (500 nucleotides) under uncultured bacterium. RNAcentral's name for it is "partial 16S ribosomal RNA". It matches the Rfam family "Bacterial small subunit ribosomal RNA", at positions 30 to 523 of the family's 1533-position model. The record is from RNAcentral.